AACCCAAAUGAGUAGCUGAGGGAAUAUGUAGAUUAUAAUAACCAAUAAGGAUGAGUCUGCACCGGUGAGUUUCAUGUAACAACACACGUAAGUCUCAUUCAUAGCCUUCUUGUGGGGGAAGGAAGGAACCUCUUCAGCUGUACCUAAUGCAACAGAAUCAGUGUGCAGCCAUGCAAAAAGCAAGUCCCCCAAGUCAACAGAAGGAAACUCCGUAAGGUGAUAGGAAGAGCACACAUUUGAGCUCCAGUCA
Chelonia mydas (Green sea turtle) is the source of this 250-nucleotide long non-coding RNA. RefSeq lists it as uncharacterized. Lineage: Eukaryota; Metazoa; Chordata; Testudines; Cheloniidae. The record is from RefSeq and is a predicted model, not a curated record. The transcript has 3 exons.